AUUCCUACGGGAGGCAGCAGUGGGGAAUAUUGCACAAUGGGCGCAAGCCUGAUGCAGCCAUGCCGCGUGUAUGAAGAAGGCCUUCGGGUUGUAAAGUACUUUCAGCAGUGAGGAAGGUGGGUAUGUUAAUAGCAUAUUCAUUUGACGUUAGCUGCAGAAGAAGCACCGGCUAACUCCGUGCCAGCAGCCGCGGUAAUACGGAGGGUGCGAGCGUUAAUCGGAAUUACUGGGCGUAAAGCGCAUGCAGGUGGUUUGUUAAGUCAGAUGUGAAAGCCCGGGGCUCAACCUCGGAAUUGCAUUUGAAACUGGCAAACUAGAGUACUGUAGAGGGGGGUAGAAUUUCAGGUGUAGCGGUGAAAUGCGUAGAGAUCUGAAGGAAUACCGGUGGCGAAGGCGGCCCCCCUGGACAGAUACUGACACUCAGAUGCGAAAGCGUGGGGAGCAAACAGGAUUAGAUACCCUGGUAGGCAUAG
Molecule: ribosomal RNA, 473 nt
Filed under: uncultured bacterium
Lineage: Bacteria
Description: bacterial SSU rRNA
Rfam family: Bacterial small subunit ribosomal RNA
Source: RNAcentral